CGGGGAAUCUUAGACAAUGGGCGAAAGCCUGAUCUAGCCAUGCCGCGUGAGUGAUGAAGGCCCUAGGGUCGUAAAGCUCUUUCGCUGGGGAUGAUAAUGACAGUACCCAGUAAAGAAACCCCGGCUAACUCCGUGCCAGCAGCCGCGGUAAUACGGAGGGGUUAGCGUUGUUCGGAAUUACUGGGCGUAAAGCGCGCGUAGGCGGAUCAGAAAGUUAGGGGUGAAAUCCCGGGGCUCAACCCCGGAACUGCCUCUAAAACUCCUGGUCUAGAGUUCGAGAGAGGUGAGUGGAAUUCCGAGUGUAGAGGUGAAAUUCGUAGAUAUUCGGAGGAACACCAGUGGCGAAGGCG
RNAcentral lists this ribosomal RNA (350 nucleotides) under uncultured bacterium. Its description in RNAcentral is "bacterial SSU rRNA". It matches the Rfam family "Bacterial small subunit ribosomal RNA", at positions 355 to 723 of the family's 1533-position model. The record is from RNAcentral.